This 1252-nucleotide ribosomal RNA is filed under the name Ralstonia solanacearum. Its description in RNAcentral is "bacterial SSU rRNA". It matches the Rfam family "Bacterial small subunit ribosomal RNA", at positions 85 to 1339 of the family's 1533-position model. Lineage: Bacteria; Pseudomonadati; Pseudomonadota; Betaproteobacteria; Burkholderiales; Burkholderiaceae. The record is from RNAcentral.
CGGGCGGAGUCGCGCGAACGGGUGAGUAAUACAUCGGAACGUGCCCUGUAGUGGGGGAUAACUAGUCGAAAGAUUAGCUAAUACCGCAUACGACCUGAGGGUGAAAGUGGGGGACCGCAAGGCCUCAUGCUAUAGGAGCGGCCGAUGUCUGAUUAGCUAGUUGGUGGGGUAAAGGCCUACCAAGGCGACGAUCAGUAGCUGGUCUGAGAGGACGAUCAGCCACACUGGGACUGAGACACGGCCCAGACUCCUACGGGAGGCAGCAGUGGGGAAUUUUGGACAAUGGGCGAAAGCCUGAUCCAGCAAUGCCGCGUGUGUGAAGAAGGCCUUCGGGUUGUAAAGCACUUUUGUCCGGAAAGAAAUGGCUCUGGUUAAUACCCGGAGUUGAUGACGGUACCGGAAGAAUAAGGACCGGCUAACUACGUGCCAGCAGCCGCGGUAAUACGUAGGGUCCAAGCGUUAAUCGGAAUUACUGGGCGUAAAGCGUGCGCAGGCGGUUGUGCAAGACCGAUGUGAAAUCCCCGGGCUUAACCUGGGAAUUGCAUUGGUGACUGCACGGCUAGAGUGUGUCAGAGGGAGGUAGAAUUCCACGUGUAGCAGUGAAAUGCGUAGAGAUGUGGAGGAAUACCGAUGGCGAAGGCAGCCUCCUGGGAUAACACUGACGCUCAUGCACGAAAGCGUGGGGAGCAAACAGGAUUAGAUACCCUGGUAGUCCACGCCCUAAACGAUGUCAACUAGUUGUUGGGGAUUCAUUUCCUUAGUAACGUAGCUAACGCGUGAAGUUGACCGCCUGGGGAGUACGGUCGCAAGAUUAAAACUCAAAGGAAUUGACGGGGACCCGCACAAGCGGUGGAUGAUGUGGAUUAAUUCGAUGCAACGCGAAAAACCUUACCUACCCUUGACAUGCCACUAACGAAGCAGAGAUGCAUUAGGUGCUCGAAAGAGAAAGUGGACACAGGUGCUGCAUGGCUGUCGUCAGCUCGUGUCGUGAGAUGUUGGGUUAAGUCCCGCAACGAGCGCAACCCUUGUCUCUAGUUGCUACGAAAGGGCACUCUAGAGAGACUGCCGGUGACAAACCGGAGGAAGGUGGGGAUGACGUCAAGUCCUCAUGGCCCUUAUGGGUAGGGCUUCACACGUCAUACAAUGGUGCAUACAGAGGGUUGCCAAGCCGCGAGGUGGAGCUAAUCCCAGAAAAUGCAUCGUAGUCCGGAUCGUAGUCUGCAACUCGACUACGUGAAGCUGGAAUCCGACU